GAACGCUGNCGGCAGGCUAACACAUGCAAGUCGAACGGUAACAGGAAGCACAGCUUGCUGCUUUGCUGACGAGUGGCGGACGGGUGAGUAAUGUCUGGGAAACUGCCUGAUGAUGGAGGGGGAUAACUACUGGAAACGGUAGCUAAUACCGCAUAACGUCGCAAGACCAAAGANGGGGACCUUCGGGCCUCUUGCCAUCGGAUGUGCCCAGAUGGGAUUAGCUAGUAGGUGGGGUAGUAACGGCUCACCUAGGCGACGAUCCCUAGCUGGUCUGAGAGGAUGACCAGCCACACUGGUGGAACUGAGACACGGUCCAGACUCCUACGGGAGGCAGCAGUGGGGAAUAUUGCACAAUGGGGCGCGCAAGCCUGAUGCAGCCAUGCCGCGUGUAUGAAGAAGGCCUUCGGGUUGUAAAGUACUUUCAGCGGGGAGGAAGGGAGUAAAGUUAAUACCUUU
This 456-nucleotide ribosomal RNA is filed under the name Escherichia sp. C10. RNAcentral's name for it is "bacterial SSU rRNA". It matches the Rfam family "Bacterial small subunit ribosomal RNA", at positions 31 to 470 of the family's 1533-position model. Lineage: Bacteria; Pseudomonadati; Pseudomonadota; Gammaproteobacteria; Enterobacterales; Enterobacteriaceae. The record is from RNAcentral.